RNAcentral lists this ribosomal RNA (253 nucleotides) under uncultured bacterium. Its description in RNAcentral is "partial 16S ribosomal RNA". It matches the Rfam family "Bacterial small subunit ribosomal RNA", at positions 524 to 776 of the family's 1533-position model. The record is from RNAcentral.
UACAGAGGUCUCAAGCGUUGUUCGGAUUCAUUGGGCGUAAAGGGUGCGUAGGCGGCGCGGUAAGUCGGGUGUGAAAUCUUGGAGCUUAACUCCGAAACUGCAUUCGAUACUGCCGUGCUUGAGGACUGGAGAGGAGACUGGAAUUUACGGUGUAGCGGUGAAAUGCGUAGAUAUCGUAAGGAACACCCGUGGCGCAGGCGGCCCCCUGGGCCGCGCAUGACGCUGAGACGCGCAAGCGCGGGGAGCGAACGGG